GCCAGCAUGGCGGAAUGGCAGACGCGGCGGUCUCAAAAACCGUUGGGCGCAAGCUCGUGUGGGUUCGACUCCCACUGCUGGCACCA
This 86-nucleotide transfer RNA is filed under the name Candidatus Dormiibacterota bacterium. RNAcentral's name for it is "tRNA-Leu". It matches the Rfam family "tRNA". Rfam says of the family: Transfer RNA (tRNA) molecules are approximately 80 nucleotides in length. Their secondary structure includes four short double-helical elements and three loops (D, anti-codon, and T loops). The record is from RNAcentral. Lineage: Bacteria; Bacillati; Candidatus Dormiibacterota.